CUAGAUCCAUAUUAGAAAGAAGCUCCAACAUCCCCUCAUGGCAAUCAUCAGCAAGAGUACUGGCGUUGUGUGCCUCAUAGCCCUAGUGCUCAUGGCCACCGUUCUCUUCUCAAGUGCCAGCAACCUUGGAUGCGACAAAGGUCCAGUUCCGGAGGAAAAGUGUGAUGAGCUAUGUUGUAAAUUAUGCGGUAAUUCCGCCCCUUGCCACUUAGAAGAUGAUGGGAAGUUUUACUGUUGUUGCGAACCAGUACGCCAAGGUGGAUCCAUGAGGCCUCAGGAAGUUGCUGAAAUGAUACAAACAUAGAGUCAUGGAUCUCCAGAACCAUGUCGAAUAAAUGUGCUAGCUCUUGAUGUUGAUGUAGUUAAACAAAUAAUGAAUUUCCUUAUCAAUC
Long non-coding RNA from Aegilops tauschii subsp. strangulata, 392 nucleotides. RefSeq lists it as uncharacterized. The record is from RefSeq and is a predicted model, not a curated record. Lineage: Eukaryota; Viridiplantae; Streptophyta; Magnoliopsida; Poales; Poaceae.